This 852-nucleotide ribosomal RNA is filed under the name Triticum aestivum (bread wheat). RNAcentral describes it as "partial small subunit ribosomal RNA". Lineage: Eukaryota; Viridiplantae; Streptophyta; Magnoliopsida; Poales; Poaceae. The record is from RNAcentral.
AUGUCUGACGCCGGUAGUUGUGAUGGGGCCGCAGCCGCGUGGGAUGCACCCCAAGACGACAUCCUUGAGCAGCCAGUGCAUACUAUGGAAGAGCAGGCACCUCCUCCUCCAACAUCUCGAAUUUCAGUCAGAAAAGCAGUAGAAGUAAUCCAGACAUUUGACGAUUACAAAAGGUGGCUCGUCACUGAAAUUGGGUUUGGUGGAAUGUUAAAGCUACCCAUGUUGCAGAAGCUUAAUCUUAAGUUCAGCGCAUGGACUAUGAGCAAGGUCUGUGUUGAGCGUCGAGCAAUUGUUCUAUCAGAAACAAAAGUACUCAAGUUUUUUGCGGAGGACAUCCACAAGGUGUUCGGCAUACCAUGUGGCCACCGGAAUGUUAAAGGCCGCGAUGGGUUCAUCAAGCCAGAGGAUGUGACCUUCAUAAAGAGGACGCUAGGGAUGGACAGGACGGGUGUGCAUAGUCUACACGCGGCUGAGGAAUUCCUUAUGCGCGACAUUUCUGAGGCGUCCAGCAAGAUAGAGAAGGAUUGCUUCCAAAUUGCAUUUGUCAUUUUUGUUAUGGGACACGUUCUGGCACCUAGGACAAAACACGAUUAUGGCACCAUAGACUAUUGGGGUGCACUUGCAAACACGGAGAAUAUCACGCAAUAUAAUUGGUGUGAGUUUGUACUGGAGUUUUUGCUCGAGGCAGUCCGGCGGCUUAAGAAUGAUAUGAUGGCCAACAACCAUAGUACAAACCUGGUUGGUUGCCACUUGUUUCUCCAGAUUUCUUCCUUGACAAUGUUGACCUUGGAAUUUUCAACAAGAAGCACAAUGUUCUUCCACGCAUUAGUGAUUUCGACCAUAAUAGCCUGA